AUGGUGGGGUUAGAUAAAAGUGAAAGCUUUGAGUACCUUGUUGAAAGAAUCAUUGACCGUCUGAAAGGGUGGAAAGAAAAAAUUCUGUCUAUGGGAGGUAAGGAGAUUUUGUUGAAAGCAAUAAUCCAAUCCAUUCCAGCCUUUGCUAUGGCAAUUUUUAAAAUUCCAAAAAAGGUGUGUAAGGAGAUUACUGAUGCAAUGUCAGGCUUUUGGUGGGGAGACACUGAGGAGCAAAAACGCAUGCAUUGGUUUGCAUGGUGGAGGAUGUGCCUACCAAAAUCUAAGGGUGGUAUGGGAUUUAGAGACCUACAUGCUUUCAACCUUUCCAUGCUGGCAAAGCAGAGUUGGAGAUUGAUAACCCAUCCCGAGACAUUAUGUGCACAAGUGCUUAGAGCAAAAUACUAUCCAGGUGGGAACUUGCUGAAUGCUGGGCCCAAGAAGGGAGCAUCUUUCACUUGGCAAAGCAUAGUGGCUGGUCUUCAAACCUUUAAAAGAGGUCAUAUAUGGAGAGUUGGGUCUGGUGCUAGGAUCAAUAUUUGGAAUGAUCAUUGGAUCCCACAGAGCCCCUCAAGGAAGAUCAUCACACCUAGAGGGAACAUUUUACUAAAUACUGUUGAUGAACUCAUGGACCCGGAUACAGGAGAUUGGGACGAACAACUAAUAAGAUCAGUUUUCUUUGGAGUGGAUCAGAACGAAUCCUAG
RNAcentral lists this ribosomal RNA (702 nucleotides) under Triticum aestivum (bread wheat). Its description in RNAcentral is "partial small subunit ribosomal RNA". The record is from RNAcentral. Lineage: Eukaryota; Viridiplantae; Streptophyta; Magnoliopsida; Poales; Poaceae.